This 523-nucleotide ribosomal RNA is filed under the name uncultured bacterium. Its description in RNAcentral is "bacterial SSU rRNA". It matches the Rfam family "Bacterial small subunit ribosomal RNA", at positions 25 to 530 of the family's 1533-position model. The record is from RNAcentral.
CAGGAUGAACGCUGGCGGCGUGCCUAAUACAUGCAAGUCGAGCGAACAGAUAAGGAGCUUGCUCCUUUGACGUUAGCGGCGGACGGGUGAGUAACACGUGGGUAACCUACCUAUAAGACUGGAAUAACUCCGGGAAACCGGGGCUAAUGCCGGAUAAUAUUUAGAACCGCAUGGUUCUAAAGUGAAAGAUGGUUUUACUAUCACUUAUAGAUGGACCCGCGCCGUAUUAGCUAGUUGGUGGGGUAAUGGCUUACCAAGGCAACGAUACGUAGCCGACCUGAGAGGGUGAUCGGCCACACUGGAACUGAGACACGGUCCAGACUCCUACGGGAGGCAGCAGUAGGGAAUCUUCCGCAAUGGGCGAAAGCCUGACGGAGCAACGCCGCGUGAGUGAUGAAGGUCUUCGGAUCGUAAAACUCUGUUAUUAGGGAAGAACAAAUGUGUAAGUAACUGUGCACGUCUUGACGGUACCUAAUCAGAAAGCCACGGCUAACUACGUGCCAGCAGCCGCGGUAAUACGUAG